Molecule: ribosomal RNA, 496 nt
Filed under: uncultured bacterium
Lineage: Bacteria
Description: partial 16S ribosomal RNA
Rfam family: Bacterial small subunit ribosomal RNA
Source: RNAcentral
AUGCACGCUGGCGGCGUGCCUCAUCCCUGCCAGUCGAGCGAACAGACGAGGAGCUUGCUCCUCUGACGUUGGCGGCGGACGGGUGAGUAACACGUGGAUAACCUACCUAUAAGACUGGGAUAACUUCGGGAAACCGGAGCUAAUACCGGAUAAUAUAUUGAACCGCAUGGUUCAAUAGUGAAAGACGGUUUUGCUGUCACUUAUAGAUGGAUCCGCGCCGCAUUAGCUAGUUGGUAAGGUAACGGCUUACCAAGGCAACGAUGCGUAGCCGACCUGAGAGGGUGAUCGGCCACACUGGAACUGAGACACGGUCCAGACUCCUACGGGAGGCAGCAGUAGGGAAUCUUCCGCAAUGGGCGAAAGCCUGACGGAGCAACGCCGCGUGAGUGAUGAAGGUCUUCGGAUCGUAAAACUCUGUUAUUAGGGAAGAACAAAUGUGUAAGUAACUAUGCACGUCUUGACGGUACCUAAUCAGAAAGCCACGGCUAACUACGUG